CUCGGAUUGCAAUGAACACGUGCAAACCAUGUUUCACGUUUUCCACAUACAUCCCUACUCAGUCAGACUUCCAAUCUUAUCUCUCUCCCUUCACCGCGCUGGAGCUUACCAUCGACGGUGGUGGAGCAUCAGAUAUCAAAAUUACAUAUGCCAAAAUGUUCUAUUUCUCAAGCUCUACCAAAAACUACCAUCAAUUUCACCUGAAUCUCCAUAAAUUCUAUAGAUCGAGCAAGAACAAGCAAAGAACCCUAGAUACUAAAUUAGAAAUUAAAUGAUGGAUUGGAGCAAUCAAAGUCCCUGAUGUUAGGGAUUUGAUUCCCCGACUCUCGCUCUACAUGAUGGUAACUCGUAUGCAUCAAAUGGUAGAGAAAAUCAAAACUACCUGCUAGAGAAAACGGCCGAGAUCGAAGCAAAACAACGUCUGAACAAGUUUAGGAUGUUGCAUUGCAGUUAGGUGGCAGUGUAUUGGAUAACUUGGUGAACCAAUUUAGACUCGAGCUGCAGAUUGAAAUGUUUUGGCAUUGCAGGUGGCUUGCAACAAGUAAUUUGUUGAUGAUGAUGACCUAAUAUUUCAGGUGACAUGUAUGGAAAUACAUGCAAUGCAAUGGUUGGUUAAAGUGCAAACAGGUUUUGCAGGUUAGGCCAAGGUUUGCUCAAUGUUUGAUGCAAAGUUAGUGUGUGUAUGUGGAUGUUUGCAAUAUUUUUAGUGUACUUGCAGGCCUGUGAUGCCAUAUGAUGUGUGCAUUGUUGCAGGUUAUUCAUAUGCUCAUGCCAUGGUGUGCAAAAGGUAUGUUCAUGAAAUGUGAAUUUGUAGCACGCAUGGUUAGGGAUUCUAUGUUAUGUUUGGUUGGUUUUGUAUGAUAAUUGGAUGAUGUGUGAAUGCUUGCUUGUGUAUUACAUGAUGUAUGGCUACAUGUUUGUGAAAUUGGUCACGGUGACAAGGCAAAUAAGGCAUGACCACCCAAGUUUAAUGCAAAAGUAAAGUUUCUUAUUCAUGAAGAAACAUGAUGGUGGAAGCUCAUGAAAUAAUUUGGAUGUAAUUAGCAUUAAGGUUUAGGAGAUGAAAAAAUGUGAUAGUUAACUUUGGGCAAUUGGUUGACAAAAAAGUCAACAGUUGACAAAGAUUCAACUUUUGCAAAAAUGCAUUUUUUGGUAUUUUAUUUUGUAAUUGACAAUGUAAAUGUUGUAUGAAUGAAUGAAUGGUCAUGUAUUUGAAUAAAACGAUCUUUUUGAAUGAAAACAUGUUUGAACUUCAAAGUGCAUUUUGCCUUGAAAUCCAUGUUUUGAAAUCAAUCUUGCCAUGAAACUUUGAAUGGACUUAUGGGUUAAGAAUGGGAAUUAAGACACUUAAACCAAAGGAUUGUGACUAUAUGAUGAUACAAUGGACCAACACAAAUGGACUAUGAAUCAAUGGUAACAAGAACAAAUGCAUUGUGAAAUAUGGACCAAUAAAUGCACCAACAGACCUAAGUCAAUGGUUUAUAAGGUAAUAUGGAUCAAUGAAAUCAAAUGAACUAAGCAUACCAUGGAGUAUGAAGUAAUGAAUGCCAUAGGACUUGACUUAAUAUACUUGGAUACUUGAAUGAAACACAUCCCUUAUAAUGAGGACUUUGAAUGAAUGAUGAGCCAUGAAGCACAAAACCAUAGACUUGAAUGCACCAUAGGCCUAUAAUAAAUUGGAAUAGGAAUGGCCAAAUAGAAUGCACAUGACAUAGAUGCUAGAACAAAGCCUUGGAUCAAAUGAACCCUCAAUCAUGUAGCCAUGUAGGUUAAAUGAUCAGCUUGAUGAAUAAUUUUCAUGAACAAUACCACCCUCGAUGAUUGAUUAUGCAUGACAUGGUGAUUAAGAACCACACUCCAAUGUAUUAGGGUUUCAAUCAAUUACAAGACCAAAAGUCAAAUCGACAUGUUUCACAAGUACCAAGUGUCUCUGAUUAGGGUUUCAUGAUGCCAACCGUCAAAUCAAGAACCUCAAAUUAAGUACUAAGGAUCCACAAAUAAAUCUUCCACAAGUGACCCCAAUAUUAGGGUUUGGUGAUCAAACAUAAACUCAUAAGGUCAACCGCAUGAUCCAAUAGUAGCAAAGUCAAGAAUUAGGGUUUUAGUACAAAGAUGAAAACCAUUUUUGCAAACUCCAUGAAUCAAGGUCUCAUUCUCAAUGAUGAGCAUUACCACAAUCCUAGGGCUUGGUCCUCAAGCAAACCCUAGUUUUCAUUAGGUAUAAAUAACCACAAACUUUGAACCUAUGAUGAUUAUUUGAAAGUGCUAACAUGAAUGAUGCACAUGUAUGAGACAUGAAUGAGUGCAAAUGAAUCGAAAGCCAAAGGUUAGAUGAAAAUCUAAAAGGGAAGGUAAAUUUUGGGGUAUGAUCUCGUUCAGAUAUAAUACAUGCUACUAUAAAUUCAUCAUACAUAUGGGAUCAUUGUGUGGUUUUGAAACUUACUAAGAACAUGCGACUUCAAUAGUCUUCCAUGAACUCAAGUCCAUCUGACUUGGAACAAUUUUCUAACUGGAUAUUGAAAGUUGGUGAUGGAAAGUUAGCAUAACCUAAUGAUGGUUAUGCAUAUAUUGACAUCCCAACUAAAUUAUUGAUCACAAAAUUUGACGAUCCACUUGAAGCCAACGUUCAAAACACAUAUACAAAUUUUGCUGUGAAUUACAACAACGAAACAAUUUUGCAAUCAAGAGCAAUUUUGGCUGGAACCAUUGAGAUUGUUGAUCUCAUCAAUCAAUAUGUAUUGGAAUUCAUUCCAAGUAAUUGUUGAUGUUCAGAUUUAUAUCCUUAUAAACAUAUGCCAAACUAUAAUUGUUUACUAAUACAAUAUUAUUUAAUUCUUUGUAGAAGGGGAAAAGGAAUAUUUAAGUUCUGAUUCAGUUGACACAUAUGAUGGUGAUGACAAUGAAACUUUUGAUGUUUUAACUCCUGAAUUUUUGAAUACACUUAGAACUUCCGAUCUUCCCAAUCACAAGAUUAAAUUGAAUAUUGGCAAUCCAAUUAUGCUUCUUAUAAAUAUUGAUCAAUCAGAAGGUUUGUGUAAUGGAACAUGACUCAUUGUUACAAGAUUGGUAGACCAUGUUAUUGAAGAAAAUAUUAUUUCAUGUAAGAACAUAUGAGGUGUCAUCUAUAUCCCAAGAACGGAUAUUAAUCCUACCCAAUCCCCAUGGCCCUUCAAGAUGACUAGAAGGAAAUUUCCUAUAAUUGUCUAUUAUCCUAUGACAAUUAACAAAUCUCAAGGUCAAUCAUUUGAUUAUGUCGAAAUAUAUUUGCCUAGAAGUGUGUUCAGCCACGGUCAACUAUAUGUUACAAUAUCAAGAGUAAAAAUCAAAAAAGGUCUCAAGGUAUUAAUACAUGACAAAGAAAACCAACCAUUGGAGGCUACGCCAAAUGUUGUUUUUAAAGAAGUUUUUGAAAACUUAUAGAACGUAAGUUAAACAUUAUUUUCAUGGCUGGUAGAAUUUGUGUAACUUGACAUGGUUAGUCAUGACAAAAUUAUUUUGUAUUAAUUAUGUUUUUUCUCCAAUGCUUAAGAACAACCAGGUCCUGGAGAUUGGUUUUAUCCAUUAUCAUAUGGAGAACUAGCAUCAACAAUAAAAUUAACGAAUUUAUACAGGGUGAAGAUUUGAGAUCUUUGAAGGUUAUCAUCAACUUUUUAAGAUCAACAACAUUCUACACAACUGAAAAAAAACGUUUC
Long non-coding RNA from Lathyrus oleraceus (garden pea), 3692 nucleotides. RefSeq lists it as uncharacterized. The record is from RefSeq and is a predicted model, not a curated record. Lineage: Eukaryota; Viridiplantae; Streptophyta; Magnoliopsida; Fabales; Fabaceae. The transcript has 3 exons.